RNAcentral lists this non-coding RNA (88 nucleotides) under Actinomycetota bacterium. RNAcentral describes it as "Actinobacteria bacterium c-di-GMP sequence". It matches the Rfam family "c-di-GMP-II-GAG riboswitch aptamer". The record is from RNAcentral. Lineage: Bacteria; Bacillati; Actinomycetota.
ACCUGAGUGGGAGACGCGGAUACGUCGGACAUAUCCCCGGUCACCGUGGUCCGGCGUGGAGUCAGUGGUGAGACCGACCCGAUCAAGG